Molecule: ribosomal RNA, 56 nt
Filed under: uncultured bacterium
Lineage: Bacteria
Description: partial 16S ribosomal RNA
Source: RNAcentral
AGCCAUGCCGCGUGAAGGAUGAAGGCCUUCGGGUUGUAAAAUUCUUUUGCCGGGAC